CACCGCGGUUAUACGAGAGACCCAAGUCGAUGGCUUUCGGCGUAAAGAGUGGUUAAGAUUCAAUUAAAACUAAAGCCAAACGACUUCAAAGCUGUUAUACGCACAUGAAGACAUGAAACCCAACCACGAAAGUGGCUUUAAACUUCUGACUCCACGAAAGCUAUGGAA
Molecule: ribosomal RNA, 168 nt
Filed under: Anampses melanurus
Lineage: Eukaryota; Metazoa; Chordata; Actinopteri; Labriformes; Labridae
Description: partial small subunit ribosomal RNA
Source: RNAcentral